UAGUUAAGGCAGGCAUGGGAGGGAGAGGCCUAUAAAUUCAUUGUCUAUCAUGAACAAAAGUGUUGCACUGCAAUAACACAUAAUUCUCUUAUAUUAUCUUUUUUCAUAUUAGUAGUAUACUAUCGCUGAAUAUUAUUAUAAAUGGCUCGCAGUUAUGCCUUCUAUUUUAUUGUUGCGCUCAUGGUGAUGUCUGUGUAUAUGGCUCAAUCUCCAAAAGUAAAAAAUAGCCGCUGCGAGAGACAUGUCGAUUAUGAAUGGAAUAUUAACUGGUGAUUCCUUGACUGCUUGUGGUGGAUAUUGCCGAGUAAACAGAGACUGCUCUAGGUCGUGCCCCUAUUGUUACUACGAUGUUAUUCAACAUACCUACGGCUGCCAUAUUUGAAGGAUCGAUCAUUCAUGGCCAACACAAUCUCUUUGUGGUUUAAUUUGAUGGUCUUUGAUUUUGUGUUUUCCUUUUCCAAUUUCAGUAUUUAUGUGAAAAAAAUAAAACGACCAAGUGAUCUACUUCUACCUAGAUCAUGAUAAUGUCCCAUGUAACAUAAAGAUGGGUUGUGUUUGCUUAUAUAUGUACUUUUAAUUUUGAAUGAAUAAAACUGUGUGAUCCGUUUGCUUAUCAAAA
Long non-coding RNA from Solanum dulcamara, 619 nucleotides. RefSeq lists it as uncharacterized. The transcript is spliced from 2 exons. Lineage: Eukaryota; Viridiplantae; Streptophyta; Magnoliopsida; Solanales; Solanaceae. The record is from RefSeq and is a predicted model, not a curated record.